RNAcentral lists this ribosomal RNA (253 nucleotides) under uncultured bacterium. RNAcentral's name for it is "partial 16S ribosomal RNA". It matches the Rfam family "Bacterial small subunit ribosomal RNA", at positions 524 to 776 of the family's 1533-position model. The record is from RNAcentral.
UACAGAGGUCUCAAGCGUUGUUCGGAUUCAUUGGGCGUAAAGGGUGCGUAGGUGGUUUGUUAAGUCCGUUGUGAAAGCCCUGGGCUCAACCUGGGAAUGGCAGUGGAUACUGGCGAGCUAGAGUGCGGUAGAGGGUAGUGGAAUUCCCGGUGUAGCAGUGAAAUGCGUAGAGAUCGGGAGGAACACCAGUGGCGAAGGCGGCUACCUGGACCAGCACUGACACUGAGGCACGAAAGCGUGGGGAGCAAACAGG